RNAcentral lists this ribosomal RNA (209 nucleotides) under Clostridioides difficile. RNAcentral describes it as "partial 23S ribosomal RNA". It matches the Rfam family "Bacterial large subunit ribosomal RNA", at positions 1769 to 1977 of the family's 2925-position model. Lineage: Bacteria; Bacillati; Bacillota; Clostridia; Peptostreptococcales; Peptostreptococcaceae. The record is from RNAcentral.
UCAGGUGGCCGCAGAGAAUAGGCCCAAGCGACUGUUUACCAAAAACAUAGGUUUCUGCUAAGUCGCAAGACGAUGUAUAGGGGCUGACGCCUGCCCGGUGCUGGAAGGUUAAGGGGAUCUGUUAGAGCAAUCGAAGCAGUGAACUUAAGCCCCAGUAAACGGCGGCCGUAACUAUAACGGUCCUAAGGUAGCGAAAUUCCUUGUCGGGU